AACAGGCUUAUCUCCCCCAAGAGUCCACAUCGACGGGGAGGUUUGGCACCUCGAUGUCGGCUCAUCACAUCCUGGGGCUGUAGUAGGUCCCAAGGGUUGGGCUGUUCGCCCAUUAAAGUGGUACGCGAGCUGGGUUCAGAACGUCGUGGGACAGUUCGGUCCCUAUCCGUCGCAGGCGUAGGAAAUUUGAGAAGACCUGUCCUUAGUACGAGAGGACCGGGAUGGACGUACCUCUGGUGUACCAGUUGU
RNAcentral lists this ribosomal RNA (249 nucleotides) under Clostridioides difficile. RNAcentral describes it as "partial 23S ribosomal RNA". It matches the Rfam family "Bacterial large subunit ribosomal RNA", at positions 2476 to 2724 of the family's 2925-position model. Lineage: Bacteria; Bacillati; Bacillota; Clostridia; Peptostreptococcales; Peptostreptococcaceae. The record is from RNAcentral.